AUGAAGGAUGAGGGUCCCGGCUUGGAUCCUGGGGUCUCCUCCUCCUCCUCGGCACAUGCAGGGUGGGACCCCCAAAUCUGGGACCCCCAGGAACACCCCCGAGUUUGGGGUCUGACAAAGGGGGGGAGCUCAGAGGACCCCAAAUCCCAGCCCCCCUCAGACCUGGGGACCCCACCAGCCCCAUGGGGACCCCACCCCUCCGUGCUGGGGGACGCCUUGCUGCAGCCCCCCCACCCAUCUGGGGUCCCCCCACUCCCCAACCCUUCCGAUCUGGGGGACCCCCGGCCAUGGGGACCCCCAGUCACAGCCCCCCCACCCGUGGGGUCACCCCAGCCCCCAGAACUGGGGGAUCCCCCCCAGUGGGGACCCCCAGCCCAAGCCCCACCCCUCAAUGUUGGGGGGACCCCUCGCUGCAGCCCCCCCACCCAUGGGGUCCCCCCAGCCCCCACCCCUUGGAAUUGGGGACCGCCACCCCAAACCUUCAGUGCUGGGGACCCCCAAUUGCAGCCCCUCACCCUUGAGGACCCCCCCCUAUCCCUUGGGACUGGGGCACCCCUCACUGCAGCCCCCCCACCCAUGGGGACCCCCACCCACAAUGACCCCCAGAACCCCCCCCCCCCCCCACCUCAGUACUGGGGACCCCCCAGAACUGCGGCCCCCCAACCUCAGCCCCUCACCUAUACAAGACCCCAACCCCAGAACCGCAGGACCCCUCACUGCAUCCCCCCCACCCAUGGAGACCCCACCCCUCAAUUCUGGGGUCCCCUCCCUCAGCUCUGGGGUCCCCCCACCCCAUUUUCCCCCCGGCGGGGGUCCCGCAUCCCCCGGCCCAGGAUGCAUAAAACGCCCCCGCGGUGGCUGCGGGGGCCAAACCAAAGCUGUCCCCGGCGAGGGGACACCACGAGCACCUCAGCAGCGCCCGCUGCCCCCCCCUGCGCCCCCCCUUCCCUGCUUUUUUGGGGAUUUUGGGGCAUUUUCCCCCUUUUUCCCCACCUCUUCUCCCCCUCCUCCCCAGCGCCUGGCAGCUCGGGGGGGAGGGGGGCUCGGGGCAGGGGGGUCCCCCUGUUCCCAGCUGCCCUUUUGGGGGUGCCCACGGCCCCCACCCCUCCCCCAGCGCCCAGACCAACCCAAAAACAGGGGGCUUUUAACCCAAAACAGGGUUUCUAA
This 1167-nucleotide long non-coding RNA is filed under the name Corvus moneduloides (New Caledonian crow). RNAcentral describes it as "lncRNA (ENSCMUG00000018538.1)". The record is from RNAcentral. Lineage: Eukaryota; Metazoa; Chordata; Aves; Passeriformes; Corvidae.